This is a long non-coding RNA of Bos taurus (domestic cattle), 1403 nucleotides long. NCBI's taxonomy places the organism in Eukaryota, Metazoa, Chordata, Mammalia, Artiodactyla, Bovidae. The record is from Ensembl.
GCCCCGAGCCCCGAGCCCCGAGCCCGGAGCGAGCGCCGCGGCCGCCUCGCGCCAGUCGGUCCCUGGACGCGCCGCCGCCGCCGCCACCGCCGGGAAGGCAGCGGGCGCCGAGCAAGUUGCGAGCGCGCCUCUCCGCCCGGGGGAAAGUUUCCCCCGCGGCCGCCGACGCGAGUUGGCGCGGGGUCCGGCCGCUGCGGCUGGAAGUUUUGUUUUUUAUGACUUGAUUUUCGGCGGAGGGAAGCCUGCCCGGAAUAGCCCUGCCCUUGGAACCUGGGAGUGAGCAAGGGGCCCCCAGAGGGCUGGCAGGUCUACGUUCUACCUGUCAUCCCUGCCCACCCGCUUCACACCCAACCUGCCCCGAGAAGAGGAGCGGACUGAGACUCCGAGGGCAGCGGACGUCCACUUUCGAGUACCACGUGUGCGCUCAGUCUGCUCCCUGGGAAACCCUAAGAUCUCUGAUCCAGUAGAAUUUCAGGUCUCCUGGUCCAACAGUCCCCAGAUACAUUCAGAUGGCAGACCUCUGGGGUAUCUUUACCCAGCCCGAGGCUGAAAUGGCAGUAUAUGGAUGAAAGUUCCAGACCACUUUUUAGAGGCAUCAGUUCAUCUGGAGUAGGAUUUAGGACAUAUUGGGUUGAUCCAGCAAAAACUGUCCCCCGCCUCCUUUCAAAACUGCCUCGUCAGCCGGGAAACAGCUCCCUGAAUUACUGAAUGAAUUUUUAAUGGUCUGGGGCCGGGCUGGGGUUGGAGGAGGCAGAAUGGAGAUAGAGCACAGGAUAAACUUGUAAGAUGAGGGUGUCAGCCCAGGAGAUUCCGAGGGGGCCUUGCAACUUAAAAUCAGGAGAGUCUGACAUUUCAGGGUGCUAGGCAACCCUGUCUGUCUUCCAUCCAGUGGGGGGCACCUCCCUGGCCAUGUCUUGCUCCGCUUUGCCCCUGCACAGCAACGUCAACCAGGAGCCUGUCAGCCAUCAGACUGUGGCUUGGGGACAGAGAUGGUGGUGUUGGUGACCAGUUCCUGCUGGGCUCCACAUUUCUACCUGCAAGCUUGCACACUAGCUUUCUCUGGAUGUCUGUCUAGCUUCCACUGUCUCUGUUUUCCUGGGCAGAGCAAAUGGUGGCCCCUGUUAGGGACCCCUCUUUCCAGAGGGCUGCUUUUCUGGUCUAUUUCAUCAGCCAUUGAGAAGGAAAACCAGGAACAUUUGUUCAUGCUCAGCUGGGACACAGCAAAGGGAGGGGGCCCUUUGGAAGCCAGCACUUUGGUCCCCCAGAGCAGAUGAUGGGUUGAUGGGUAUUUUCACAAUCUGAUGCUGUUAAGUAACCCACCAGCCUGGGCUCCUCCUGCUGCACGAGCUGCCACCUUGGACCCGCAUCAGUGCUCUGCCCUGGGUGGUUGGGGGAUAGAGUGU